CCUANGGGAGGCUGCAGUCGGGAAUUUUGGGCAAUGGGCGAAAGCCUGACCCAGCAACGCCGCGUGAGGGAUGAAGGCCUUCGGGUCGUAAACCUCUGUCGGAAGGGAAGAACGACCGCAAGGUGAAUAAUCUUGGGGUCUGACGGUACCUUCAAAGGAAGCGCCGGCUAACUCCGUGCCAGCAGCCGCGGUAAUACGGAGGGCGCAAGCGUUGUUCGGAAUCAUUGGGCGUAAAGCGCGUGUAGGCGGCUUGGCAAGUCGGGUGUGAAAUCCCGGGGCUCAACCCCGGAACUGCAUUCGAAACUGCCUCGCUAGAGUCCCGGAGAGGAGGGCGGAAUUCCCGGUGUAGAGGUGAAAUUCGUAGAUAUCGGGAGGAACACCAGUGGCGAAGGCGGCCCUCUGGACGGUGACUGACGCUGAGAUGCGAAAGCGUGGGGAGCAAACAGGAUUAGAUACCCCGNUANUC
RNAcentral lists this ribosomal RNA (466 nucleotides) under uncultured bacterium. RNAcentral describes it as "bacterial SSU rRNA". It matches the Rfam family "Bacterial small subunit ribosomal RNA", at positions 338 to 795 of the family's 1533-position model. The record is from RNAcentral.